RNAcentral lists this ribosomal RNA (301 nucleotides) under uncultured bacterium. RNAcentral describes it as "partial 16S ribosomal RNA". It matches the Rfam family "Bacterial small subunit ribosomal RNA", at positions 509 to 807 of the family's 1533-position model. The record is from RNAcentral.
CAGUAGCCACGGUAAUACAGAGGGUGCGAGCGUUAAUUGGAUUUACUGGGCGUAAAGCGUGCGUAGGCGGCUUCUUAAGUCGGAUGUGAAAUCCCUGAGCUUAACUUAGGAAUUGCAUUCGAUACUGGGAAGCUAGAGUAUGGGAGAGGAUGGUAGAAUUCCAGGUGUAGCGGUGAAAUGCGUAGAGAUCUGGAGGAAUACCGAUGGCGAAGGCAGCCAUCUGGCCUAAUACUGACGCUGAGGUACGAAAGCAUGGGGAGCAAACAGGAUUAGAUACCCCAGUAGUCCCUGUCUCUUAUAC